RNAcentral lists this ribosomal RNA (752 nucleotides) under uncultured Comamonadaceae bacterium. RNAcentral describes it as "bacterial SSU rRNA". It matches the Rfam family "Bacterial small subunit ribosomal RNA", at positions 28 to 776 of the family's 1533-position model. Lineage: Bacteria; Pseudomonadati; Pseudomonadota; Betaproteobacteria; Burkholderiales; Comamonadaceae. The record is from RNAcentral.
AUUGAACGCGGCGACAUGCCUUACACAUGCAAGUCGAACGGCAGCACGGGAGCAAUCCUGGUGGCGAGUGGCGAACGGGUGAGUAAUACAUCGGAACGUGCCCAAUCGUGGGGGAUAACGCAGCGAAAGCUGUGCUAAUACCGCAUACGAUCUACGGAUGAAAGCAGGGGAUCGCAAGACCUUGCGCGAAUGGAGCGGCCGAUGGCAGAUUAGGUAGUUGGUGAGGUAAAGGCUCACCAAGCCGUCGAUCUGUAGCUGGUCUGAGAGGACGACCAGCCACACUGGGACUGAGACACGGCCCAGACUCCUACGGGAGGCAGCAGUGGGGAAUUUUGGACAAUGGGCGAAAGCCUGAUCCAGCCAUGCCGCGUGCAGGAUGAAGGCCUUCGGGUUGUAAACUGCUUUUGUACGGAACGAAACGGCCUUUUCUAAUAAAGAGGGCUAAUGACGGUACCGUAAGAAUAAGCACCGGCUAACUACGUGCCAGCAGCCGCGGUAAUACGUAGGGUGCAAGCGUUAAUCGGAAUUACUGGGCGUAAAGCGUGCGCAGGCGGUUAUGUAAGACAGUUGUGAAAUCCCCGGGCUCAACCUGGGAACUGCAUCUGUGACUGCAUAGCUAGAGUACGGUAGAGGGGGAUGGAAUUCCGCGUGUAGCAGUGAAAUGCGUAGAUAUGCGGAGGAACACCGAUGGCGAAGGCAAUCCCCUGGACCUGUACUGACGCUCAUGCACGAAAGCGUGGGGAGCAAACAGG